This 1268-nucleotide unclassified non-coding RNA is filed under the name Hevea brasiliensis (rubber tree). The record is from RNAcentral. Lineage: Eukaryota; Viridiplantae; Streptophyta; Magnoliopsida; Malpighiales; Euphorbiaceae.
CAUAAUUCUGAAACCCCUGAAGAACGGGAGACCACACCAGCAGUAGAAAAGCACACACACAUCUUGGAAGAUGUUGACGGUGAGCUUGAAAUGGAGGAUGUGGCUCCCUCUUGUGAAGUUGAAGCAGGUUCAUCAGGUGGCAUUGCAGGAGUCAAUUCUGUACAGAAUUUGCAUAAUCAAUUAGAACAGCUUUUUCCACUGCCCUUUGUGCCUCCUUUGCCUCAGGAUGUGCCACCAACAUCACCACCAUUGCCAACAUCACCGCCUCCACCUCCACCUCCACCUCCACCACCUCCUCCUGCUAUCCCACCUUCGUGUGGAAUUCCUGAUCCAUACAUUACUGGCAUUGAUUCAAAUCUUUAUGCAAAUUCACAUAAUAUGCAAGAUGACUUGAGAGAAUCUGUGGGUCAGCAGCCAGCAGCACCAAGAAUCAACCCAUCAAUGUCCAAUGGAGUGCAUUAUCAUGCUACUGAAUGUAGGGAUCAGAUGCAGAUGCAGCAUUGCGACUCCACAAACUCUUUCAACAGUUACUCUGUACAUCCAGUGCACACUGAUGGACCAAACUUCCACCACAAGGCUUAUCCUCCAAGGCCACCACACCCACCACCUUCAAAUCAAUUCUCUUAUGUUCAGGCAGGCCAGCAUGUGAAGUCUCGGAGAGAGACCCCGCCUCCUUACCACCACAGAUUCCACUCGUCACAUAAUGCUGAUGGUGGAAACUUUUAUAAUAACCAUGAGCGAAUGAGGCCAGCCCCAUAUGAACUCAAUGAGAGGUGGAGAUACCCUGCACCCCCUUUUCCUGGUCCACGACAUUCAGAAAAGGGCAGGGCAUCUUACCCACCUGAAUCAUAUUGUGGCCCCCCAAGAGAGCCGGAUAGAAUACCUCAUCAGGGAUGGUCAUUUCCUGCCCAGGGGAUGCAUCACAGGAACUUCAUGCCUUUUAGGCCACCACCUGAAAGUGCAAGUCCAGUGUCCAAUAGAGUUUCAAGCAUUUGGCGGCCAAGAUGAUCAGCUGGUACUGCCAUGGCUGAGAUUGAAUACAUUUUUUGUCUGGCUUCUCGGCUUGUUCAAAAGAGCAAGUCUAUUUGGGUUAAUGCUUCGCGUGGAAGGGAUCAUGGUUUGAGGAUUUGGCUCAGAAGAUCAGCACGUAUUUGACAUGCUUCAUUGGUUGUAUAUACGUAUCUUAUCAACUCUUUGCGAAAUGCAGAGGGCUGUGAGACAGUCAUCACAGAGAUUUGGGAGCUGUAACCAAACUCUAGACUGUCAUG